This 480-nucleotide ribosomal RNA is filed under the name uncultured bacterium. RNAcentral's name for it is "partial 16S ribosomal RNA". It matches the Rfam family "Bacterial small subunit ribosomal RNA", at positions 28 to 507 of the family's 1533-position model. The record is from RNAcentral.
GAUGAACGCUGGCGGCGUGCCUAACACAUGCAAGUCGAACGGAGAUUACGGACGGAAGUUUUCGGAUGGAAGACUGUAAUUCUUAGUGGCGGACGGGUGAGUAACGCGUGGGCAACCUGCCCUAUACAGGGGGAUAGCAGCUGGAAACGGCUGGUAAGACCGCAUAAGUCGGCGAGACCGCAUGGUUUUGCCGGGAAAUGAGCAAUCAGGUAUAGGAUGGGCCCGCGUCCGAUUAGCCAGUUGGCAGGGUAAAAGCCUACCAAAGCAACGAUCGGUAGCCGGACUGAGAGGUCGGACGGCCACAUUGGGACUGAGACACGGCCAAACUCCUACGGGAGGCAGCAGUGGGGGAUAUUGCACAAUGGAGGAAACUCUGAUGCAGCGACGCCGCGUGAGUGAAGAAGUAUUUCGGUAUGUAAAGCUCUAUCAGCAGGGAAGAUGAUGACGGUACCUGACGAAGAAGCCCCGGCUAACUACGUG